This 426-nucleotide ribosomal RNA is filed under the name uncultured bacterium. RNAcentral's name for it is "bacterial SSU rRNA". It matches the Rfam family "Bacterial small subunit ribosomal RNA", at positions 355 to 772 of the family's 1533-position model. The record is from RNAcentral.
UGGGGAAUUGUUCGCAAUGGGCGCAAGCCUGACGACGCAACGCCGCGUGGAGGAUGAAGGUCUUCGGAUUGUAAACUCCUGUCGAACGGGACGAACACCUUUUCAGUUAACACCUGGAGAGGCUGACGGUACCGUGAGAGGAAGCCCCGGCUAACUCUGUGCCAGCAGCCGCGGUAAUACAGAGGGGGCAAGCGUUGUUCGGAAUUACUGGGCGUAAAGGGCGCGUAGGCGGCCUUCUAAGUCAGACGUGAAAUCCCUCGGCUCAACCGGGGAACUGCGUCUGAGACUGGAAGGCUUGAAUCCGGGAGAGGGAUGUGGAAUUCCAGGUGUAGCGGUGAAAUGCGUAGAUAUCUGGAGGAACACCGGUGGCGAAGGCGGCAUCCUGGACCGGUAUUGACGCUGAGGCGCGAAAGCCAGGGGAGCAAA